Molecule: long non-coding RNA, 5963 nt
Filed under: Canis lupus familiaris (dog)
Lineage: Eukaryota; Metazoa; Chordata; Mammalia; Carnivora; Canidae
Description: lncRNA (ENSCAFG00000058039.1)
Source: RNAcentral
AAUGCUAAAGGACCUACAAAAUGCUUAAUGUGAAUUGUGAGUACUCUAGGACCAUCUGUAAACCUACCUGGCUUGAAGCACAUGGUCUGAAAAGGUUGACUAUUACUGACUUUAAAUGUACCAACAACAUAAGCAGUUGUGAUUAUUGUGGACUUGCUCCUGCUGUGAACUCACCUGUGGUAGAAUGUACUCACUCAUACAUGAAUCUAAACCGUGAAACGUGCGCUUGCCUGGCUCAGUCCACAGAGAAUGCUACACUUGAUCUUCAGGUUGUAAGUUCGAGCCCCACAUUGGGUGUAGGGAUUACUUAAAAAUCUUUUAAAAAUAAUAAAAUGUGAAACAGUGGAAUAUUUUGCCCUGUCUGAAGGUAUUCAGUAUACUAGAACCAGCAUUUUCCACGUGAAGCAUAUAUAGGACUUUCCUGUGCAGAGCCUCUUAUAUUCAUUUUUAUUAUGCAAAUUUAAGAUAUGCUCUUUAGCAUCUGGUAAGAACAAUCUUUUUGUGACAUAUGUCUGCCCUUGGCUAAAUUGGAAUGCAGAUGUGAUUUUAAACAGAUUUUUUUAAUAGAUAGAUGUUUAAGGAACGAUGUGAAAAUCUUUUUUUUUUUUUUUUAAUUUUCUGAUCAAAUCAGUACUGUAAGGGCAAAUUUUUCCCAAUGGGAUAAAAGGUAUAAGGAGAAAUAUAACAGCUGAAGGUAAAAUAGUGGUUUAAGUGGAUUGGUUAUGCUCAUGUGGAGUUCUCAGAAUGGAAGAAUCAGAAAUAGUUAGGGCACCUGGGUGGCACAGUUAGGCAUUCAACUCUUGGUUUCAGCUCAGGUUGUGAUCUCAGGGUGUGAUAUCCAGCCCCUAGUCAGACUCUGUGCUGAGCACACAGCCUGCCUGAGAUUCUCUUCCUCUCUUUGCCCCUCCUGCUUAUGCAUGCGCUCUUCUCUCUCUCCCAAUUAAAAAAAAAAAAAAAUCAGAAAUAGUUAACAUGGGCAGAUGGAACUGGCAGGGUUCUGGGGGCCAGGAAGGCCUCUCUGCCCAUCGGAUGGGCCCAGGCCCCUGUUGUGUGGAGUCCCAGGGGGCACAGCGGACCAGCCUCACUGUGCCUGAUGGACUGAAUAGAGGGUGCAAGUACUGACUGUAUCCUUAGAUGUCUUUCUUAUAUAAAAGGCUCUCGGUCAGUACAUGUAUCUGUUGAAUGCUCAGUAUGUGGUGUGAGGGAGUGACGUGUGCAGAGAAGCCUACUUGGUGAUUCCUUGUGACGGGAUAGAAUUCUCAUGAAACACAAGAAGGUGCUUUUGAUAUUUUAUUCUCUGCUGUCAAAAGGAUUAUUAAUAAUGUACUAAAGAAGCAGCUUGAUAUUAUUAGUAUAGUCCUUAAUCUGUGACCAGGAAAAAUGGAAAACAAAGGAAAAACCAAACCCCGACUUCUCCCCUAAUUGGCUACAAUCUUUAUUCUUUGGAUGUAUUCUCUCUGACAUCCAUUAUUUGAAUGUGGACUGUACAGAAAUCAGUAUAUAGGAGAGGAAUGACCUGAUUUUUUUUUUUUUUAGGUAAAAGAUUGAUACUCAAGUUUUAAGUAUUUUAAACCAUCAGUUUGAAUGGUUUGUUUUAAACGAUGUUUUGCUGCGUGUACUCUUCAUUUGCUCAUAAUACCACUUUAAAUACAAAUGUAAAAGUGACAUCUGUUCUUAAAAUUACUAUUAAAAAAAUCUUAAUCUUGUUUCUUGGUUUGGCCGCCUCCUACCUUCAUCUUGAAAGGAAAGCGACUGCUCUUUGUGAGAGCUUAUGUCAUAGUCGUUAGUCUCUGAAGACAUUCAACACUGACUCUCAGAAGGCCCUGGCAUGGCAACUUCCUUUCCCACCCAGACGAGUGCACACACAUGCACAGACACGUGUAAACGCUCAGACACAGGCACGCUCACACAAGUGCACACAUGCACUCAUACAUGCAGACACGCUCACCGCUUAGGCAUGCGCACAGAUGUGCACACACUCAGACAUGCGCACACACAUGCUCAGACACACGCUCAGAUGUGCACGCACACACAUGCUUAGAGGUGUGAACGCUCUCAGAUACGUGCACACAUGUUCAGACACAUACACACACUCAGAUACACACAUGUGCUGCUGUCCAUGAAUUCAUGUGUCAGGCACUGGGUGGGGGGGUGUUAUACAAAGCCUUUCUGAAGUUUAAAUGCAAGCUGAAUAGCAGGGGUGCCAGUGGAAGGGCUGGAGCAGGCAGGUAAGAAUUGUUGGCAUUACUGAAGAAAAAAGAAAGCUCAUUCUCCCUGAACUCCUGAGAGACAUAGCAAAUGCCUCACGAGCAGGGUACACUGCAUCUGUUGACUGUAGCUGGGAAGAUGGGGUUUGCUUCAUUUUUAAAUUUACAGAUUGUAUUUAAUGUUGAUUUGGGUCAGAUGUUUUGAGAAGGUGAUUCUGAUGACUUUUAUGUGUGCAGUACUCAUUCAUUUAUUUUCUAGCAACCAAAUACCAAAUAGGCGAGCUGUAUUUUCAGUGCUCGAUGAGUUUAGUGACACAGUUUAGCCUAACAGCCUGAUCUUCUCAUUUAGAAUCCCUUGCUUCCAACCCAAGAAAGGUUUGCAUGCUACUGAGCAGUGGUAACAGUGUGUGUUAGGGGAAUUCAGAGCAGGGGAGAAGUUCUUCCUCCUGGAGGUUGUGUGUUUUGUGCAAAUAACCCAACAAGCACUGGUACGGAUGCGAGGGAAACCAGUUGGCUUUGUUCUUGUGAAUAUCGUACUUUAAAUUGAGGCAGAAGGAUUCCUGUGAGUGGAAUGAAGAGGAAGGAAGAUGCACUUUUCCCCUCCUUUCUCUCUCCUGUUCCUUCCUCCCUCCUCUUUUUCCCUCCUUCCUCUUCCUCCCUCCCUUUUAAAAAUAAACAUUAACCUUAUAACGAACUCUAUCUGCUAGCAGAGGAGAGCAUACUAUCCUAGGAGGCUUGGGCGCUGUGUUCUCCCCACUUGAAUAAUUCACUUACAAAAGUUAGUUGCGUUUCUUUCAAACUGGUUUAUUCCGGGUGUGCUUUUUACAGUCUGCAUAUAAUGCAAUUAAAUGUUAUCUGAGUGUUUCAGACAUGAGUGGGAAAAGAAAAUAUUGCUGUAAAAGCUAAUUUGAAUGAUUUGGGAAGAUUGAUAAAGGCAGUCCAUUUAAAAUAAACUGUCAAGUGUGGAAGAGACCACUAUAAAUAUAAGCAUUCCACCGUUAACAUUUCCUUAGGGGGUCUCUGUAGUUUAACACCAUUUCAGGGUGAAUACUAGAAUUGGCAUAUGAGAGUGUGUGCUGGUGAGAUAGUAAGAACAUCCCAUCCUUUUGAGAUUCAUACUCAAAGGAAAGACCUUAGCCCAGGUCUGAAGAUGACUGCAGGAGGCAGUGCCCUCUGAGUGGACCUGGUAUAGUGCGUAAAGUGUCCCUAUUGAACAGGAGGAGGAAAGAAACAGAGACUUAACUUGCAUUUAGAGACUUAACUUGCAUCUUUUUAAAGGCUUUCUGCUUUAACUGACUUCGUUUAAAAAUCAGCUGACCAAAGACUAGUGAUUUAUUGAGAAAAGAGGGCUUCUGCCCCUGAUGGAGACUCUCAUGGUGUGGGGAGCAUCAGCAGUGAGCUCCUGUUAGAAGGCCGUCCGUUUCCCUGCUUGAAUCACACACGUAGAGAACUAGAGGAGGACUGGGUGGACUGGCCAUCAUGAAGGCUGAAAAUGACUUUAGUGUCACUUGUCCUCUGGCUAACAGGGCAGACCAGUAAGCUUCAGGUGUUCAUGACCACAUGAAUUUCCAGGCCUAAUCAAAAAGGAUUCCAUUGGUUACCUAAGAAGAAUGACUAGAGAUUGUGUGGUCCUUUCAUGGGUGGGGAAACUGAGGCUGUUUGUCCAAGUCUUACAGGUGUGUUUGGCUGUGCUAAAAACCAGAAAUCAAUCUUCUUGUCCCCUUAUUUUACCUGGUUAUUUUUUAUUUUUAUUUUAUUUUUAUUUUUUUAUUUUUAAUUUUUUAUUUAUUUAUGAUAGUCACAGAGAGAGAGAGAGAGGCAGAGACAUAGGCAGAGGGAGAAGCAGGCUCCAUGCACCGGGAGCCUGAUGUGGGAUUCGAUCCCGGGUCUCCAGGAUCGCGCCCUGGGCCAAAGGCAGGCGCCAAACCGCUGCGCCACCCAGGGAUCCCCUGGUUAUUUUUUAAUAGAUGGAUUAAACUGAGGGGUAUGUUUCAGUUUGGUUGAGGGCCUCACUGAUUUGUCUAUAUCAUCAGCCAGUGCUAGUGUAUAGUUAAGGGUGUAUCCUAUUUGUUUCUGACCAAAGUGAAGGAGGUAAUGAGACAUAUCCUAUGUCAAAUCAUUAUGCCUUACUCACUGAUUUCAAGUCAGCAGUAUGGUGAUUUUUUUCCCUUUUACAUUAAAAAAAUACAUUAUUUAUAGUGAUUUUAAAACCUUGGGAGGAAGAAAGUAAAAUGAUGAGACAUUUAUUUUUGAUGAGAAUUAAUCUUAUAUAUUUGGUUUUUACCAUGUAUAAUUUGAAAAGGAAGCUACAAUGCUCAGAAUGGAGAAAUUAAUUUACAUAAUAGCCUAGAUUUUCUGCAUGUAUACAUUAAAAAAGAUGACUUGGAGUUUGUCUUACUAGCUUUUAAUUUGGGGAUCCCAGAUCUUAAUUAUAUCUUUUUUUUAAUUAAAGAUUUUAUUUAUUUAUUCAUGAGAGACAGAGAGAGAGAGAGAGGCAAGAGACACAGGCAGAGGGAGCAGCAGGCUCCAUGCAGGGAGCCUGACGUGGGACUGGAUCCCGGGACAUGGGAUCAUGCCCUGGGUCGAAGGCAGGCACUUAACCACUGAGCCACCCAGGUGUCCCAGUCUUGUUCCUUCUAAAUAGGCAACGGAGUUUUUUUUUUUUUUUUCUUAUUUAAUUUUUUUAAGUAGGCUGCACAUCCAAUGCAGAGCCCAACGUGGGGCUUGAACUCAUGACCCUGAGAUUAAAACCUGAGCCUAUAUCAAGAGUUAACGCUUAACCAAAUGAGCCACUCAGGUACCCCGGCAAUGGAGUUUUGAUAGAAGAUAGUUUUGAGAACUGGUCAUUGAUUUAUGCUGAUUUGGUUAUUUUCUUAAUUUGUAAUUUAGUGAUUAAGAACUUGUGUUCUGGGGUCAGCUUUUAAUCCCAUCCCCUCUGGUCUAUAGCUGUUUGAUUGGAGGCAUGUAACUUUCCUUUUCUUCACUGAACCAGGAGCAGCAAUUGUAUCUGCUUCUUGGUGUUAAUGAGGACUCAGCGAGAGAAGCCAUGCAGAGCUUGGCUUGUAGCAGCAGCAUCACAAAGGUUGGCUCUUCGGGUUAUGACAGUGACUUUCUCUUUGUCGUGGUUGUGGGCAGCAUGCAGCUUUUCCUUCCAUGAGUUUGUCAGAGUUCUCUCAGCCUGCCCUCUGCACCUUGCCCCAUGUUCUGGUUUGAUGGUGGAAAUACUGCAGAUGCUGUUCUCCAGUUACAGAUGGUCGUGACACCCUAGACUGAGCCUGUCCAGGGCCAUCCAUAGAUUCACACUUGGCUAAUCAUUAUUAGUUUUGCCCGCUCACUUAUUUGUAUGGUUAUUUGAAAAGAGGUGAUAUUUCAAACAAGAUUUUCUUUCUUUCUUUUUUUUAAGAUUUUACUCAUUUGAGAGAGAGAAUAGAGCACGAGCAGGGGGAAGAGGGAAAAGCAGGCUCCCUGUUGAGCAGGGAGCCCAAUGCGGGGCUCGAUCUCAGGACCCCAGGAUCAUGACCUGAGCUGAAGGCAGAUGCUUAACCAGCUGAGCCACCCAGCUCACUCAGAGCUGAAUGGGCAUUGGAGUGUGGAUGAUCUCUUAGAAAUAACUCGUGACCCAGAUUAUCAUAUUGCCAACACCGAGGUAUCUUUUUCACGAAUGGGCUUUUCUUCCAGUGCAUCGCGUGAACUUCUGUAAGGUGGGCGUUAGCCAUACCGCUUGAUUUUAAAGACCCUGUCUAUCGUAUGGCAUAC